RNAcentral lists this unclassified non-coding RNA (4056 nucleotides) under Hevea brasiliensis (rubber tree). Lineage: Eukaryota; Viridiplantae; Streptophyta; Magnoliopsida; Malpighiales; Euphorbiaceae. The record is from RNAcentral.
GCCCCCUUCUCUGUCGUACGCUUCCUCUGUUUUCUCUCUGUCUCUGCUCCUCAAGCCCUAUCUCUCACAGCAUUCCCAUUUUAAUUUCCUCUCUUGAUUUCAAUUGCAUACUCCAUUUUCUAGCUGGAAACAAGGCCAAGGAGCUUACAUUGUGGAGAAACAUUGCGUAUACAGCAAUGUCUGUCUCUUCUAAGCUUCAAUCUUCGGCCAAACCGGUACCUGAGAAGCGAGCGAUUCUCGUUCCCACUUGGAAUAGAGUUAGAGUUUCUGAAGAGUCCAGACGGAAAAGCGAGGUUUUGGAGAAGGCACAGCAGAGACCAAAGAGGCCAGUUGCGAAGGCCGCGGUUUCGGAGAUGCAGCAAGCUGUAGUUAAGAACAAUUUGUCGGUGGACAGCUCGUGUUCUUCGGAUUCCAAUUUUUCAUCGUCUUCUUCUUCUUCGAGUAGGUCUUCGGCGAUGGUGGCAAGUCCGAGAAGGACUGUGAAGCGCAACGGAUUACGAGCUGUCAAGGUUGUACCUGACGGUGGUGAAUUUGAUGGGAUUUCGCCAAAGAAGAACGUGCCUGCGAAGAAGUGUGAUUGGAUCACGCCGCAUUCUGAUCCACUUUAUAUGUCUUUCCAUGAUGAAGAAUGGGGAGUCCCAGUUCAUGAUGAUAGUAAGCUGUUUGAGUUGCUUGUAUUUUCACAAGCAUUAGCAGAAAUGAGCUGGCCAGCAAUUCUUCACAUGAGAGACAUUUUCAGGAAACUUUUUGACAACUUCGAUCCAUCGUCGGUUGCACAGUUAACCGAGAAGAAGCUGCUGUCACUGAAAGUGAAUGGCAAACUAUUGCUAUCGGAACCAAAGCUUCGUGCAGUAGUAGAGAAUGCUAAACGCCUGCUUAAGGUAAUUCUGUAGGCCAAGGCAUCAAUUCUAGGGACUUCAUGGAUACAUAUUUGCUUAUGGGGCCGAGUUAAUGAAAAGACAGAGGAAGAUUUUUGAAAGAUAUUGAAAACUCAGCUCUCCUAUAUAUUCCUGAGCUUAACAUCAUCACCUUCGUGAUGUUCCUUAAUAUAGGUUCCAUUAUCGAGACUUAACGUUAUUGUGAUAUCUCUUGAUUGUACAGAACUGUGUUUCAAGAAAAAAAAUAUAUUGGGACCCAUUCAUACAAAGAUUAAACUUAAUUUUGAAUCCACUUGUUGCUCAUAUUUGCAGGUUCAGCAGGAGUUUGGUUCCUUCAGCAACUAUUGCUGGCGUUUUGUGAAUAACAAGCAACUAAGAAAUACAUUCCGUUAUGCACGUCAAGUACCAGUCAAGACGCCAAAAGCAGAACUUAUAAGCAAGGAUCUAAUGCAGAGGGGCUUUCAUUGUGUUGGACCUACUGUUGUUUAUUCAUUCAUGCAGGUUGCUGGGAUUGUUAAUGAUCAUCUUGUAACAUGCUUCAGAUACCAAGAGUGUAAUACAAAUGUGAAAAAGAAUUUCAACCCCGAGACUGAAAAGACACAGAUAGUAACUGAAGCAUUGGAGAACACAUGCUUAUCUCAAUGACCAAGUGGUCUCAACUACAACUUUCUUCUGACAAAUCACACUACUAUGAUUGUAGCAAUACGAGGGCAGACCGCAGAUGUUCUCAAGUAAUGACUUAGGACUCCCUUCUUCUAUAUGUUUUAGUUGCAUAAGCUAUUCUUCCACUAGUGAAUCAUUGACCUAAACUAGAUAUUACUACAAUGAAAAUUUCUUGCGACUCCAUGCAUUCUCUGCGCAUCUAGGAUUCAUGAAGUUUCUAAGGAGGUUCCUGUCUGAUUCACUAUUGUCCUCUCUGUAUUUUUCGUUGUCUUUUAAUGCUCUAAAAUAAUCUAGGGAAUCUUUGAACAAUAUUUUUUUUUAUUUUUUUAAAAAAUGCUAGGUCAAUAUGGUGCUAUAUGGCAACGCAUCAGAUGACCAAAGCUUCGUGCCCUGAACGACAAAAAGAAUAGAAAUCUCAAAUUUAAGAGAUAAAGCUAAAUCUCCUAUUAUUUGUUUUCCUCUUGUACAUUCUCUCGUUUUAUAUUUGAACAUCCGCAUGAGCGAACGCGGGGCUUGUCGGGCAAUGUAAGUCCAGAGCCAGCCUUGUUCAGUUGGUUGAUGCGCAAUGGGACCGUAUAUGAUCUGCUUGGCGUAUCAUAAGCACCAUAUAACAAUUUUACCAUUGCAACUAUGAUAUGGAUUUAUAUCUUCCACUCCCAGCUUCCACAAGUAUAAGAGUACAAUGUAAACUAUCAACACGAAAAUCUUAAAUGUAACAAAAAGCAGGUUGGGUCCUUUGUAACAAGGUACAUCCAUUGAUAUGGUAAACAAACAAAUGAUUUCAUUUUAUCAGGUCUCAUCGAAGUAGAAAAAAAACUCAUCAAUUCCAGAAAUAUUGCACACUAUCUACAUGUAAUGCUUGCGAAAACAUCCCAAACUUUUCUGGCAAAUGUGACUGUCAAAUGAGUAAAAGAGAAUGAAACUAAAUAAACAUAAAAUUAAACAUGAAAAUUUAAUUCCCUGCUACGUAUGCACUUCCCAUCAAAACAAUGGAGCAAUGGAUUGCAAAUAUUCUUCCAAACCAAUGCUCAAUGUACCACAACCUAGAGUAAGAAUACUUCUUCUGUUCCAACAUCUGCUCACCGUAUAUUCCCUUUGAUUCCAGCAUUUCCUCACUAUGAUUUCAACUGGAUAUAUCAGCUCACCUUAACUCCGAGCCUUCCCAUUUCCGAGUGUGAGCUCCAGAUCAUCCAAUCCUACCUCAUGAAUCCUCUCUCCUUCCCAUGGCUUCACCAGUCCUGUUGCAUUGCUACCAAAUGCAAACUCAUCAGAAAUUACCUCAGACAUCGGAACAUCAGCAGUAUUAUCAAAGCCAGCUGCAAUGGCAGGAGAACAGGUCCCACUUUGCCCAGGAGUCCACAUGCAGGAUCCACCACGGGAUCCACCAUGGGAUCCACCACCAGCUAAAGCCUCUUCCUUGAAGCCAAAUGGGUUGGAAGAAACAAGGCUGAAUGUGGGAGAAUUUGGGCCAGCCUGUGGGAUGCCAAUUCUGGCAAACCAUUCAGGAUCAGGAAGAAUCUGCCGGCCAGGGCUUGGUGGAGUAGAAGAUGGUAGGAAGGAAUAAUGCUGCCCACCCCAGCUUCGGUAGGCAGAUUGGUCAUCCCAAUCAGCUUUUAUUCGAGGCGUUCGGGCAGUUGGAGAACUUAAAGGAGGGGUAACAGGAGCACUGAUGGAUCCACCAUGGAUGUAGAGAUUGGGGAGCUUGGAGGAUGAUGCACAUGAGGAUGCAGAUGAGAGGUUUUUGAGCCACAGGAUGGGGGAAUUCCUGUCAGCAUUAGUAUUAGCAGCAUAGGAGGAUGAAGCUGGACUUGGAAAGGAAGAGGAUGCAGGACUAGGGUUGUAGGAAGCACAAGGACUUGGUUGGUAAGAGGAGCAUGGGCUUGCUGUUGCAGAACCACCCACAAUAUCCACGCGCUCCACAGGCUUGCACCCCUUACGAUAGGUGGUGCCAUCGGGCUCGACGGUCCAACCAGCCUCAUUGCAGAGGGCUUUGAGGACCUCGUUGUUGUCACAGUGCUUAGGAAGCUUAUAGUUACCGUACAUCCUUAGUCCUGCGAAGAUCUUUGCUGCUAUUGCUCUCCUUCUCCUUUCUCUCCUCUUGUUGUUCUCUCUUUCGUUCCAUGUUGGUAACCUAGUCCCGGAAGUCAUAGUCCCUCAGCUAGACACCACCAACUCCAAAUUCCAAGAAAUAAAUAAAUAAUCUCUAUCUAUCAUCUGCUGAUUCUUGAAGAACUGAGCAAGAAUCAACUAAGCCUUCAUUUGGCUAACAAGGGUUAUCGUUUAACCAUAGAAUUAGUGUCGGAAACCCAAAAAUUUGCAGCCUUGAGGAGGUAAAGUUGCAGCUUUAGGGCCAUUGGACCAGGCAAAAGGAUAUGGGUUGAAGUAUUUGAAAGAGAUUGAAGUGAUCAGAUGAUCAGAUCCAUGAAUAUGGAAAUUCAAGGAGAGGGAUCAGUUAAUGGAGGGGGUUAGACUGGGAAACCGGCAGUGACCCGGGAGUGGUGCAUGAUUAAACCCG